Molecule: long non-coding RNA, 243 nt
Filed under: Gossypium barbadense (sea-island cotton)
Lineage: Eukaryota; Viridiplantae; Streptophyta; Magnoliopsida; Malvales; Malvaceae
Description: long non-coding RNA (GBAR_LNC010644)
Source: RNAcentral
AAGCUCGAAGAGCUUUCUUUGCAUGCUUGAGCACAUCUUUUCCCUUUAUAUGGAAGAACCAACCCUUAACUUAAAGGGCAUAACCAACGGAAGGUUCUCACCCUGUCCCCGACAUUGUUCUUCGACGAUGGCCCCUAGGCAAAAGGGGCCACCAUUCUCUUUUGUUCUUCAAUCGUUAUCAGCCCAAGACUAAGGCUGAGCAACUAGCUGCUGCAAGAUUGGACGUCUAUCUAUCUCACCACG